Molecule: long non-coding RNA, 327 nt
Organism: Cervus elaphus (red deer)
Lineage: Eukaryota; Metazoa; Chordata; Mammalia; Artiodactyla; Cervidae
Exons: 3
Source: RefSeq, a predicted model, not a curated record
CGUGAAAAGAGCUGCCACCUCUGCUCUCUAAAUGCCACCUGAGUUGUUACAUAACAUUGAGCAAAGUUCAUCUGUGCUAUACGCAAGAGCAUGUUACUACUGUAAUGAGAAACAGAAAAAAGAGGCUUGGACUUCUCUGGUAGCGCAGUGGAUAAGAAUCAAUGCAGGGACACGUGUUCUACCCUUGAUCCUAGAAGAUUCCACGUGCGGCGGAGUAACUAACUAAGCCCAUGGGCCACAACUAUUUGAGCCUGUGCUCUAGAGCCCAGGAGCCGCAGCUACCGAAGCCCAUGCACCUAGAGCCCACGCGCCACAACCAAGAGUAGC